AACGAACGCUGGCGGCGCGCUUAACACAUGCAAGUCGAACGAGAAGGCGUAGCAAUACGCUUGUACAGUGGCGAACGGGUGAGGAAUACAUGGGUAACCUACCCUCGAGUGGGGGAUAACCCGCCGAAAGGCGGGCUAAUACCGCGUACGCUUCCGAUCUUGCGGGAUCGGAAGGAAAGCUGUCCCUUGGGGAUGGCGCUCAAGGAUGGGCUCAUGUCCUAUCAGCUUGUUGGAGGGUAACGGCCUACCAAGGCAUCGACGGGUAGCUGGUCUGAGAGGACGAUCAGCCACACUGGCACUGCGACACGGGCCAGACUCCUACGGAGGCAGCAGUGAGGAAUAUGCGCAAUGGGCGAAAGCCUGACGCAGCGACGCCGCGUGGGGGAUGAAGGUCUUCGGAUUGUAAACCCCUUUCGGGAGGGAAGACGGCCUUAGACAACUAAGGCGGACGGUACCUCCAGAAGCAGCCACGGCUAACUUCGUGCCAGCAGCCGCAGUAAC
This 501-nucleotide ribosomal RNA is filed under the name uncultured bacterium. RNAcentral describes it as "bacterial SSU rRNA". It matches the Rfam family "Bacterial small subunit ribosomal RNA", at positions 29 to 524 of the family's 1533-position model. The record is from RNAcentral.